UCUAAAUUUAGCUACUUAUGUUGC
Molecule: non-coding RNA, 24 nt
Filed under: Arabidopsis thaliana (thale cress)
Lineage: Eukaryota; Viridiplantae; Streptophyta; Magnoliopsida; Brassicales; Brassicaceae
Source: RNAcentral